RNAcentral lists this long non-coding RNA (976 nucleotides) under Felis catus (domestic cat). Its description in RNAcentral is "lncRNA (ENSFCAG00000053602.1)". The record is from RNAcentral. Lineage: Eukaryota; Metazoa; Chordata; Mammalia; Carnivora; Felidae.
AUUAGAAACUUAAUGAAUGCCAAGAUAUGGUCGCAGAAACGGCAGUACAUUUUUAAAGUUUACAUCAAGAACGACCUUUAAUGUUACGUAGCCGUGCUAUUCAGCAGAUCGUUACUGGAUUUAGAGAGCCACGGGCGGAAAGGAAGAGACACUCGUCUGUUGUCCCGAAAACCCCUCAGUGCCUUGGCUUCGCGGGGAAAUGGUUGCCUUUGUGCAAGUGGAUCGGCCUGGCCUCUCUUCAUUUGCCUUGUCUUUUAUUUUUCCAAGGAAAAAAUAUCAGCAGAGAAAGUUCCAGACUUUCUCUUCCCAUGCAGCCUUGUUUUCUGUAUUUAGCAAAUGCCAAACAUCGACCAUGUCUGCAAAUUUCCUCUCGGGUGUAGAGAGCAAGAAGCUUGAAUUUCUGGUCUCUCUUGCAAUGGGGAGUGACAAGAUAGACAAUGUUCUGGCCAAAGAGACAAAGGAAAUGAACAAAGGUCUACUGAGAAGGUAAAAGGCAAAAUAGUUGGGGCCUGGGCAAUUGUUUGCUUGACCCCUUAAUAACUUCCUAGAAAGCAGAUGUGAUGUCCAUGCAAGCCAUCUUGUGAGCUCCAAGCAACAAAUGAGACUGGGUGUCAACAAAUUGAGCUUGGUGUGUGGAAAGAGAGAGAAGGGGUCCCUGACAGCAUGUGAGCCCUGAGUUUUCUGUUCUUUACAGCUGAAAGCAUCCCUAAGUGACAUAUUGUAAUUAAAAUCUGGGAAAAUUAGGGGUACGUGAGUGGCUCGGUCGGUUAAGCAUCCGACUUGGGCUCGGGUCAUGAUCUCGCGGUUCAUGAGUUUGAGCCCCGCGUCGGACUCUGUGCUGGCAGCGUGGAGCCUGGAGCCGGCUUCAGAUUCUGCGUCUCCCUCUCUCUCUGUCCCUCCCCUGCCCCUGCUGACACUCUGUCUUUCCUUCUCUCUCAAAAAUAAAUAAAUGCUAAAAACAAUUUUAAAAAAUAAA